AUGUGCUGUGCAUGCCUGUUUAUCUCGCCAUUUUUUUCUUUCUUCAUUCUAGGUUACACUUGACCAUCUUAGAAACCAAGAUUUUCCCUUUCUUUUUUCUCCUCAUGUUGUAUCUAAGCUUGAGAAGCAUUGGGAGAUUAGGGUGUGCUAUCUUCUUUGAAGUCUUAACCUAACCUAUGAAGCCACGGGCGGUGGAAUGGAGAGCAAGUUCAAGCAACAUCAAAGUGAGCCGUCAAGAGAUCAAGCUAAUGGCGGCUGCUGGAUCUAGAACUGGUGGAUUCCCUUUUUAAGAGUAGGUAUUUUGUGGUGCUAGUAAAAUACUUUUUCUACUUUAGUUGGUAGUAAAAUUUCAAAUCAAUGAUCAAGAUUCUUAUAACCAUAAUUAUAGUGGUAGUAGAAUAUU
RNAcentral lists this long non-coding RNA (403 nucleotides) under Oryza brachyantha (malo sina). RNAcentral's name for it is "long non-coding RNA (OBRA_LNC001840)". Lineage: Eukaryota; Viridiplantae; Streptophyta; Magnoliopsida; Poales; Poaceae. The record is from RNAcentral.